Long non-coding RNA from Mya arenaria, 1984 nucleotides. RefSeq lists it as uncharacterized. Lineage: Eukaryota; Metazoa; Mollusca; Bivalvia; Myida; Myidae. The transcript has 4 exons. The record is from RefSeq and is a predicted model, not a curated record.
UUGGUCAAAUGUUUUAUAAUUUGAAUAAAUAAGACAUUUGCAAUUGUUUUUAUUUUGGAUAUUGUGAUUGGUUUUAAUGAAAUAAACAGACCGGGUUCUUUAAGGAUCUGGUCACUUUCGGUUUUAAAUAAUGUAAAUAAACUAUUGGAGAAUUGGCAGUUAUUUUUUAUUAAGCCAUUCUAUAUUAUUAAUUAAGAAUCUGUCAAGCUGAAGUUUGGUAUUGUUUAUGUGUAUGUUUCUGCAACGGGCAUUGACCGACAAAUUCAUAUUAAAUAACUUAAAGGAGCUCGACAACCAAAACCCAAUUAAUCAAAUUACAACGCCAAGUUUCCAUUUAGUGUUUUAUUGGUUAAUAAGAAAAAUGCAGGCUGGCUUAUAUAGGCAUUUCACAAUUGAAACUAAGAAAUGAGAAAUAAAGCCAUAGAAUACAUUCAUACCACUCAAAUUCAGCCAGUCAGAAUGAUGGGAAGGAUUGCAGAACUGAGUUUCACUCUCACCUGACUGAUGCAGAUUCAGUAACCUAAUUGCUCAUGAUGGUUUCUGAGAAAAAAACAGCUUGGUGUAAUUUGACAGUAUUUUUCAGUAUUUGACAGUGGUUCUAUCAUGCAACAGUCAUACCAUGAAGUGUCUCACAGAUUUUUCUGAAUUCCUGCAAUAUCCAAGAUUACAGUGUAGUGCAAAGAGGAUUAAUUUUCUUGCAAUAAGAAGUAUCUGCACUUCCAAAUACCCCUGUACAGCAUGAACAGUUCCUUCAGUUUUUGAGUGAUUAUAGAGUGAAAAUGUUUCCAUAUAAAAUGUUUUCUUUUUAUGUGUAAAACUUGUUAUGAAUGGUUACAAAUACAUGCAUGGACAUUAUGAUUCCAAAUCUAUGCACAUUUUGAUUCCAAUAAUUAAAGUAUUUUAAAUUUGGUUUGAAACAGAAAUAUUGUCCUUAUGUUUGUUUCUAAACAUUAUCUGGUAUUAUUUGUGUUUAUAGUUUCCAUGUCAAUUUAAAAAAAAAAAGUCGGUUCUUUUAAAGAUGCACUCUUACUCCCACAUAAGAUUUACCACAAUUAAUACUUUUGUUUUAUUAUUCCAAAAAGGAUGAAUAAAUGUUGAAAACAAUGGUUCUAAUGAAUGAUGCCUACUUCUACUUGAAGGAAAUGUGCAUAAAAGACAGUAUUUCUACCAUUUGAGAUCAUAGUAGAUCACAGUAAAUCUUUAUGCAUUCACCAAUCAUUUAAUAUCUUUGCUUUUUCAGCUUAAAUACACGGUUACAAUAUUUUCAUCAAUACUUAAUAUUUUCCAAAAAAGAAUUAUUAAGUAAGUUGUUAAAGGGUUAACAGUCAAAGUAUAUGUUUGUUAUACAUGUGUAUGCAUUGAUACUGAAUAAGAGUGUCACUUUAAACAGUUGACAUGGUAACUAUAGAGUCUAGUUUUCUUAAGAAACUGUAAUUGUUGUCUAAAAACCUUUGUAUUUUCAAUGUCAUACUUUUUAGCAUGUCCGCUUCAGUCAAUGAAAUAUUUCUGUUAUUUGUUAAUUAUUUGGUCAUACUUUGUAUACAAUUAUAUUUAUAAUUUAACCUUGAAAAUUGCUGACAAUCUCAUACUUAUAUUGAAAUAUUCAGAAUUGCUAGAUGGGUUGAAGUUCACCUUUAUUACAACUGUCAGGCAAAUCAUGGCAAGAUGUACAUAAUUCUCCUUUUUAACAAAAACCGAUGUUUAAAGCAUUUUUUGUAUUUUUAUUGAAUGGUUACCAUGGCAACUAAUUUUUUGUUUGCCUUUAAUCUUCCUAUUUAUAAUACUAUUAAUUGUAAAAAUGCAACAGUCAAGCAGUGAAUGGAAGAAUGUAAACGUUCUUUGUCUUUUACCUUUUUCAAGCUCAUUCUUAAAAUUUCUUAAAAAUGGACGUUUUUUCAUCAUUUUUUUUAAAGUAAAACAAUUUGCUUAAAACUUUGUUUAGGUUCUGAUAUUUAGGAAUGUGUAUUAAAUUUAUAGAAAAUAA